Molecule: ribosomal RNA, 776 nt
Filed under: uncultured Neocallimastigales
Lineage: Eukaryota; Fungi; Neocallimastigomycota; Neocallimastigomycetes; Neocallimastigales
Description: partial large subunit ribosomal RNA
Rfam family: Eukaryotic large subunit ribosomal RNA
Source: RNAcentral
GAGAGAGACAUGCGCGCAUAUCAAUAAGCGGAGGAAAAGAAACUAACUAGGAUUCCCUCAGUAACGGCGAGUGAAGCGGGAAGAGCUCAAAUUUGAAAUCUUCAAGGUUCUACCUUGACGAAUUGUAGUUUAAAGAAGUGUUUUCUGUUGGAGUUUUGGUAAAAGUUCUUUGGAAUAGGACAUCAUAGAGGGUGAGAAUCCCGUAUUUGACCAUUAUUUCCAGCUCUGUGAUACACUUUCAAAGAGUCGGAUUGUUUGGGAAUGCAGUCCAAAAUGGGUGGUAAAUUUCAUCUAAAGCUAAAUAUUGGCGAGAGACCGAUAGCGAACAAGUACCGUGAGGGAAAGAUGAAAAGAACUUUGAAAAGAGAGUUAAACAGUACGUGAAAUUGUCAAAAGGGAAGCGUUUGACACCAGUGUUGUUUUCUCGAAAAUCAAUUAAAAAAGGCAGGAUUUUGUGUUGUAUUGACUUUAUCAGCUUUCUGCACUCUUUUCUUGUCUUUUUUUAAUGCACUUUUCGUUUAACAAGUCAACAUCAAUUUCUUUUGUUGUAAAAGGGUCAUUGGAAGGUGGCUUUCUUUUCGGAGAAAGUGUUUAUAGCCUUUGGCCUCUGCAAUCGGAGAGAUUGAGGUCUGCAGCGUAGAUCCUUCGGGGUUAGAUACAUUUGUGCUAAGUUAUAGCCUUUUCAUAGACAACUUGUUGACUAUGAUUAGUCAUUGUAGCUUACUCGCUUAUGCUAUUUUACCUACGCUUAGGAUGUUGAAGAUGUAGCACAUCAU